GACGAACGCUGGCGGCGUGCUUAACACAUGCAAGUCGAACGGAAAGGCCCUGCUUGCAGGGUGCUCGAGUGGCGAACGGGUGAGUAACACGUGGGUGAUCUGCCCCUUACUUUGGGAUAAGCCUGGGAAACUGGGUCUAAUACUGGAUAGGACCAUGCUGUAGGUGGUGUGGUGGAAAGAUUAGUUUCGGUAAGGGAUGAGCUCGCGGCCUAUCAGCUUGUUGGUGGGGUAAUGGCCUACCAAGGCGUCGACGGGUAGCCGGCCUGAGAGGGUGGACGGCCACAUUGGGACUGAGAUACGGCCCAGACUCCUACGGGAGGCAGCAGUGGGGAAUAUUGCACAAUGGGCGCAAGCCGGAUGCAGCGACGCCGCGUGGGGGAUGACGGCCUUCGGGUUGUAAACUCCUUUCAGCCAUGACGAAGCCCUUGUGGUGACGGUAGUGGUAGAAGAAGCACUGGCUAACUACGUG
This 469-nucleotide ribosomal RNA is filed under the name uncultured bacterium. RNAcentral's name for it is "partial 16S ribosomal RNA". It matches the Rfam family "Bacterial small subunit ribosomal RNA", at positions 28 to 507 of the family's 1533-position model. The record is from RNAcentral.